AAAUUAUGCAUCGGGCAUUUUCUUAGUAGCUCAUUGAAUCACUCCCAUACUUCAUAUAAUGUUUCAUCCUCUAAUUUUCUAAACAAUGUAAUGUCGUUGCUCAACUU
This is a non-coding RNA of Gossypium arboreum, 107 nucleotides long. NCBI's taxonomy places the organism in Eukaryota, Viridiplantae, Streptophyta, Magnoliopsida, Malvales, Malvaceae. The record is from Rfam.